Molecule: ribosomal RNA, 1685 nt
Filed under: Triticum aestivum (bread wheat)
Lineage: Eukaryota; Viridiplantae; Streptophyta; Magnoliopsida; Poales; Poaceae
Description: partial small subunit ribosomal RNA
Source: RNAcentral
CGCUGCCGCCCACCCCAUCCUACAGCCACCGCCCUACCCCUCAUCUGCGUCACCAGAUCCGCUGGUUCCCUGCUGGAGCACCGCUGCCACCGGCCUCCAGCCAUCAACCCCUCCCCCUCGAUGGUGAUCACACCCAGCGCCCCCGCCUCCUAGCGCCUCCCCUGCGACAGAUCCGUCUGGAUCCAGCCCCGCCGUCCGUGGCCACCUUCCUCCUGCCCCACGCCAGGCUACAACCGGGCAGCUGCAGACCCGCACGAUUCCCCGCCAUGGAAAGCGGCUCCACCUACAUACGGCGGAUGACCAUCGAGGGAUCCCUCACCGCCCGCUGCCGUGAUCUGUACGUCCGUCGCAGUGGUGCAGCUCGCUGGCCCUGCGUGCAAUUCGUCGAUGGAACGCGUGCAGUGCCCACAUGCCACAUCAGUGCCAUCCCUUCCAGCGAUGCGUCACCAGUGCCCCCGUUUGUUUCCAUGGCGAGCUUUGUCGCACGUGGGACUCGGGUGACUUGGCACGACCAUCCCGAUGAGCGACUGCCCCCACCCCCGGAAUCAGCUCCUCCAGUGCUUAACGGCGAGCUCCACGAUGUGAGAUCCCCAUCCCACUGGCUAGCUCUUCUCCCUUCCCCUCCUCUCCUCUCUGUCGAGCUCUCCUCACUAACCUCCUGUUUGAAUUUUUUCCAAGCAUGAAGUUCACUGGGUACCGACGGGAUGACCACGAUGAGUCGCUCUGCGGCACGCCAGCACACCCACUUGCAGUUCAUUAGGCGGAUGGAUGGAUUUGUGUAGCUCGGUGGCUCGCCAGGUGCGCUCGAUGGUCGUUGUGGUUCACCGACAAAGCCUGAUGGAGCUGCACAUCGCCGAUUUGGUUGCUUGUAUCCCACCAGUGAUGUGGGACUAUUCGCUUGGUGAAGUUCGCCGGAUACACCCAUUGAGUUCGUUUCGCCUCUCCGAUGUGGUGGUGUCCAGCGGUCAGCCCCUACCUCACCGGUACCCACCGCAUGUGGGAACUCCUCGUCUGCGGCCUCGUCGCGGGCGCUCUACCUCGGCAGUGUGCUGGGGUCAAUCAUGCGGUGCAGAUUUGCACAGCAGUGCGAUGCCGUUCAAGCCGGGUGUGCUCCCAAGUAUAGGCUGCUCAUUACGCAGCUCGGCUGGGUUGUCGGUGCAGUUCAGCACGCACCCGUGCGCCUCCCCCUUGUCGCCUUUGCGGUUUGCAGUUCGCCGUCAGGAAGGAGCUCUAUUUCGCCUGUUAAAAAGUAUAAUUGCAGUGCAGUUCGGUUCAUCUCAUGGGCGAUAUCAUAUGACUUUUAUACUUAUUAAUUUAAGGGCAUGGUCUAGACCGUUGCAAUUGAUCUAUCACUUUUACUAGUAGAAUGCCCGUGCGUUGCUACGGGCACAAGAGAAAUAUAGAUGAGUCCAAGAGCAUAAGUUGUGGCCAUCUUUUAUCUUCUCCACGAAGAUGUUGUCCCUCAACUUUUCUACAUAUACAGGUAAUAUAUACUUUUAGAUAUAUACCAAGAUUGUGGGAAGACAUAAGGUAACAUUUCAUAUCUCGUUCCUUUCCAUUUCCUCCAUAUUCACCAUCGCAACAAGACGUGACAUCAUGUGCAUUCUCCUGCAAAAAAAAUAAAAAAAAUGUUAAUUCUCCCUAGCUGCCUCCUAUUUUCUGACAAACCUUGGACCUCACCUCCG